This 447-nucleotide ribosomal RNA is filed under the name Regabellator sp. RNAcentral's name for it is "partial 16S ribosomal RNA". It matches the Rfam family "Archaeal large subunit ribosomal RNA", at positions 2004 to 2667 of the family's 2987-position model. Lineage: Eukaryota; Metazoa; Arthropoda; Malacostraca; Isopoda; Nannoniscidae. The record is from RNAcentral.
AUAGCCGCGGUAUUCUGACCGUGCUAAGGUAGCAAAAUAAUUUGCCUUUUUAUUGAAGGCGAGAAUGAAAGAGUUGUCAAUGCUUUGGCUUUUCUUACUUAGCUCUAAAAAUUAAUUUUCAUGUCAAAAAGCAUGACUUUUUAGAAAGACGAGAAGACCCUAUAAAGCUUUGUAUUAAGUAAAUUACCUGCAUUAAUUAGGCUUUAUUUUGUUUUAAUUCUUAAUUGGGCUGGGGCGGCAUCUAAACCUCUAAAGAAAAUGAAACAUAUUUUAUGGUUUAAAAGAUCUUGAUUUUCAAAAAUUAGAAUAAGCUACUUUAGGGAUAACAGCAUAAUUUUUUCAUAAAGACCCUAUAGAAGGAAAAGAAUUGUGACCUCGAUGUUGAAUUGAGGGGCCUGCUUUAAGCAAAAAUAAAGACAGGGAGUCUGUUCGACUUUUGAUCCCUCA